Molecule: ribosomal RNA, 492 nt
Filed under: uncultured bacterium
Lineage: Bacteria
Description: bacterial SSU rRNA
Rfam family: Bacterial small subunit ribosomal RNA
Source: RNAcentral
GCUUAACACAUGCAAGUCGAACGAGACGAUUUAGAAGCUUGCUUUUAUUGAGUCGAGUGGCAAACGGGUGAGUAACGCGUAGACAACCUGCCGCAAAGAUGGGGACAACAGUCCGAAAGGACUGCUAAUACCGAAUGUUGUAUCUCCUCCGCAUGGAAGAGAUAUUAAAGAUGGCCUCUACUUGUAAGCUAUCGCUUUGCGAUGGGUCUGCGUCUGAUUAGCUAGUUGGUGGGGCAACGGCCUACCAAGGCGACGAUCAGUAGCCGGUCUGAGAGGAUGAACGGCCACAUUGGAACUGAGACACGGUCCAGACUCCUACGGGAGGCAGCAGUGGGGAAUCUUCCGCAAUGGGCGAAAGCCUGACGGAGCAACGCCGCGUGAGUGAAGAAGGUCUUCGGAUCGUAAAGCUCUGUUGUCGGGGACGAAUGUUGAGACCUAGAACAUAGGUUUCAAAUGACGGUACCUGACGAGGAAGCCACGGCUAACUACGUG